This 468-nucleotide ribosomal RNA is filed under the name uncultured bacterium. Its description in RNAcentral is "partial 16S ribosomal RNA". It matches the Rfam family "Bacterial small subunit ribosomal RNA", at positions 28 to 507 of the family's 1533-position model. The record is from RNAcentral.
GAUGAACGCUGGCGGCGUGCUUAACACAUGCAAGUCGAACGGAAAGGCCCUGCUUUUGUGGCGUGCUCGAGUGGCGAACGGGUGAGUAUCACGUGAGUAACCUGCCCUUGACUUUGGGAUAACUUCAGGAAACCGGGGCUAAUACCGGAUAGGAGCUCCUGCUGCAUGGUGGGGGUUGGAAAGUUUGGGAGGUUGGGGAUGGACUCGAGGCUUCUGAGCCUGUUGGUGGGGUAGUGUCUUACCAAGGCUUUGACGAGUAGCCGGCGGGAGAGGGUGACCGGCAACCAUGGGACUGCGGUGCGGCGGAGAAGACUACGGGAGGCAGCAGUGGGGGAGAAUGCUCAGUGGUCGGCAGCAGGAUGAAGGAACGCCGCGGGGGGGAUGAAGGACUUCGGGUUGUCGACAGCUUUCGCCUGCGAAGAAGAGAGAGUGACGGUAACGGGUAAAGAAGCACCGGCUAACUACGUG